This 111-nucleotide ribosomal RNA is filed under the name Chrysemys picta bellii (western painted turtle). The record is from RNAcentral. Lineage: Eukaryota; Metazoa; Chordata; Testudines; Emydidae.
CCCAGCAGCCAUACUGCUUUGGUUUGUAAUGACAUGUGAUCACAGGCUACAGGACAGCUGGGACUGUACUUGGAUGGGAGACCUCCAGGAAAAGCCCUGGUGCUGUAGGAA